RNAcentral lists this ribosomal RNA (119 nucleotides) under Pteropus alecto (black flying fox). Lineage: Eukaryota; Metazoa; Chordata; Mammalia; Chiroptera; Pteropodidae. The record is from RNAcentral.
GUCUACGGCCAUGCCACCCUGAACAAGCCCGAUCCCGUCUGAUCUCAGAAACUAAGCAGGGUUGGGCCUGGUUACUACUUGGAUGGGAGACCACCUAGGAAGACCUGGUGCUGUAGGUG